Molecule: microRNA precursor, 64 nt
Filed under: Caenorhabditis remanei
Lineage: Eukaryota; Metazoa; Nematoda; Chromadorea; Rhabditida; Rhabditidae
Description: microRNA crm-mir-7605 precursor
Source: miRBase by way of RNAcentral
AGGUGGAUAGGUUGUGUAGAUUCACGGAUAUUAUGAUAUGUAAUCUACCAACUGCUCCAUUCGU